UACGUAGGUGGCAAGCGUUAUCCGGAUUUACUGGGUGUAAAGGGCGUGUAGGCGGGAGUGCAAGUCAGAUGUGAAAACUAUGGGCUCAACCCAUAGCCUGCAUUUGAAACUGUACUUCUUGAGUGCUGGAGAGGCAAUCGGAAUUCCGUGUGUAGCGGUGAAAUGCAUAGAUAUCACGCAGAACUCCGAUUGCGAAGGCAGCAUACCGGCGCGCAACUGACGCUCAUGCACGAAAGCGUGGGUAUCGAACAGG
Molecule: ribosomal RNA, 253 nt
Filed under: uncultured Oscillospira sp.
Lineage: Bacteria; Bacillati; Bacillota; Clostridia; Eubacteriales; Oscillospiraceae
Description: partial 16S ribosomal RNA
Rfam family: Bacterial small subunit ribosomal RNA
Source: RNAcentral